This 670-nucleotide ribosomal RNA is filed under the name uncultured bacterium. Its description in RNAcentral is "bacterial SSU rRNA". It matches the Rfam family "Bacterial small subunit ribosomal RNA", at positions 9 to 694 of the family's 1533-position model. The record is from RNAcentral.
GAGUUUGAUCCUGGCUCAGGAUGAACGCUGGCGGCGUGCUUAACACAUGCAAGUCGAGCGAUGAAGUUUCCUUCGGGAAACGGAUUAGCGGCGGACGGGUGAGUAACACGUGGGUAACCUGCCUCAUAGAGUGGAAUAGCCUUCCGAAAGGAAGAUUAAUACCGCAUAAUGUUGAAAGAUGGCAUCAUCAUUCAACCAAAGGAGCAAUCCGCUAUGAGAUGGACCCGCGGCGCAUUAGCUAGUUGGUGGGGUAACGGCCUACCAAGGCGACGAUGCGUAGCCGACCUGAGAGGGUGAUCGGCCACAUUGGGACUGAGACACGGCCCAGACUCCUACGGGAGGCAGCAGUGGGGAAUAUUGCACAAUGGGGGAAACCCCGAUGCAGCAACGCCGCGUGAGUGAUGAAGGUUUUCGGAUCGUAAAGCUCUGUCUUUGGGGAAGAUAAUGACGGUACCCAAGGAGGAAGCCACGGCUAACUACGUGCCAGCAGCCGCGGUAAUACGUAGGUGGCGAGCGUUAUCCGGAUUUACUGGGCGUAAAGGGAGCGUAGGCGGAUGAUUAAGUGGGAUGUGAAAUACCCGGGCUCAACUUGGGUGCUGCAUUCCAAACUGGUUAUCUAGAGUGCAGGAGAGGAGAGUGGAAUUCCUAGUGUAGCGGUGAAAUGCGUAGA